This 307-nucleotide non-coding RNA is filed under the name Streptomyces afghaniensis 772. RNAcentral's name for it is "Bacterial large subunit ribosomal RNA". It matches the Rfam family "Bacterial large subunit ribosomal RNA", at positions 1527 to 1814 of the family's 2925-position model. Lineage: Bacteria; Bacillati; Actinomycetota; Actinomycetes; Kitasatosporales; Streptomycetaceae. The record is from Rfam by way of RNAcentral.
GUGCGGUAGGUAAAUCCGUCGCACACAAGGCUGAGACCUGAUGCCGAGCCGAUUGUGGUGAAGUGGAUGAUCCUAUGCUGUCGAGAAAAGCCUCUAGCGAGUUUCAUGGCGGCCCGUACCCUAAACCGACUCAGGUGGUCAGGUAGAGAAUACCGAGGCGUUCGGGUGAACUAUGGUUAAGGAACUCGGCAAAAUCGCCCCCGUAACGUUCGGGAGGAACGGGGGCCACAUCUGGUGAUGAGCUCUGCGCUCUGAGCGUGGGGGUGGCCGCAGACGACCAGCGAGAAGCGACUUGUUUAACAAAAAC